RNAcentral lists this ribosomal RNA (498 nucleotides) under uncultured bacterium. Its description in RNAcentral is "partial 16S ribosomal RNA". It matches the Rfam family "Bacterial small subunit ribosomal RNA", at positions 30 to 523 of the family's 1533-position model. The record is from RNAcentral.
AUUGAACGCUGGCGGCAUGCCUUACACAUGCAAGUCGAACGGUAACAGGUCUUCGGAUGCUGACGAGUGGCGAACGGGUGAGUAAUACAUCGGAACGUGCCUAGUAGUGGGGGAUAACUACUCGAAAGAGUGGCUAAUACCGCAUGAGAUCUACGGAUGAAAGCAGGGGAUCGCAAGACCUUGUGCUACUAGAGCGGCCGAUGGCAGAUUAGGUAGUUGGUGGGAUAAAAGCUUACCAAGCCGACGAUCUGUAGCUGGUCUGAUAGGGCGAUCAGCCACACUGGGACUGAGACACGGCCCAGACUCCUACGGGAGGCAGCAGUGGGGAAUUUUGGACAAUGGGCGCAAGCCUGAUCCAGCAAUGCCGCGUGCAGGAUGAAGGCCUUCGGGUUGUAAACUGCUUUUGUACGGAACGAAAAGCCCCGGGUUAAUACCCUGGGGUCAUGACGGUACCGUAAGAAUAAGCACCGGCUAACUACGUGCCAGCAGCCGCCGUAA